This is a long non-coding RNA of Symphalangus syndactylus (siamang), 5681 nucleotides long. RefSeq lists it as uncharacterized. The record is from RefSeq and is a predicted model, not a curated record. NCBI's taxonomy places the organism in Eukaryota, Metazoa, Chordata, Mammalia, Primates, Hylobatidae.
CAGUGGCGCAAUCUCGGCUCACUGCAAGCUCCGCCUCCCGGGUUCACGCCAUUCUCCUGCCUCAGCCUCUCCGAGUAGCUGAGACUACAGGCGCCUGCCACCACGCCUGGCUCAUUUUUUGUAUUUUUAGUAGAGACAGGGUUUCACCGUGGUCUCGAUCUGCUGGCCUCGUGAUCCGCCGGCCUCGGCCUCCCAAAGUGCUGGGAUUGGAAGCGUGAGCCACCGCGCCCGGCCUCUUUGGCUUUCUAUGUGCAAGACACAAAGGAGGAAUAGCAGUCCACUGCGCGGAGUGGAGGAAGCGCUUCCAGGGAGGAGGAUUUACCUGGACCCCCUGGGCCUGCAGAAGUGCCCAAGUCCUCCCUCAGAGGAUAACAGGCUCUCCUUGCCUCAAGAUGACACCGCAGCCUUCAAAGUGGAAGACCAAACAUCCUGCCCUCAGAAUCCACCUACAACCUGUGCCGGCCACCAGAUUCAUCACUGGGGUUAAGUCACAACCACACCCACCUACAACCUGUGCCGGCCACCAGAUUCAUCACUGGGGUUAAGUCACAACCACGCCCACCUACAACCUGUGCCGGCCACCAGAUUCAUCACUGGGGUUAAGUCACAACCACACCCACCUGGGGACAUGCUGGGCCAGCCAGGGAGGACAAGACUACACCCCAAAGGAGCUAUGGACCCAGCCAGCAUGGAGCAGUGGGGGUGGGACAGUGCUCUUGGGACCGGAUCAAGUGCAGGAAGAGCUCGUGAAAUGGGGGACUUCUCCCGUUGUUUUGGACUCAAUUGUAUCCCCCAAAAAAUUCAUAGGUGGAAGCUCUAACCUCCAAUAUGACUGUGUUUGGAGAUAGGGCCUAUAAGGAGGUGAUUAAGGUGAAAUGAGGCCAUCAGGGUGAGACCCUAACCUAAUAAGGCUGGUAUCCUUAGAAAAGGAGGAAAAGGCACCAGAUCUCAUUCUCUCUCUCUCUUUCUCUCUCUCUCUCUCUUCCCCCUCCCUCUUCCUCCCCUCCCCUCUCCUCCUGCCUUACAUGCACAGAGGAAAGGCUAUGUGAGGACACAGAGAGAAGACAGCCAUCUACAAGCCAAGGAGCGAGCUCUCUCCAGAAACCAAUCCUGCUUGUACCUUGAUCUUGGACUUCCAGCCUCCAGAACCAGGAGAAAAUAAAUGUCUGCUGUUUGAGCCGCUCAGUCUGUGGCUUCUUCUUAUGGCAGCCCGAGAUGACUAAGACACCAGUCAUGCCGGAUUUAACAGCAGGAGACAGCGCUAAUGCACUGCUGAAGUGGCUCUUGAAACUUGGAGAAAGAUGGCAGAUGACAGAAGAAGGGAUCAAAAGACAGGGAAGUGGGCAUGGCCCGGAGCAGGCAGAAAACCCACCAGGUGACAGCGUUCCACAAGACACCACCGAGGACGUCCCACUGACCCAGCACCAGCUUCACCAGGUAGCUCAGGGGUGGGGCUGUCCACCAUAGGCCAGGGUGGGUGGUGGGAGGUGCCGUUACAGAACCAGGCUUGCUGAGAGUGCUGGGAAUAAGAGGAUCCAGAAAUAAGGGGCUGGGAGCCUGCACCAAACCACCGGAAGCAAGGUCAGUGCAAUCACCUUAACAAGCAUCAAGGCGGGAACGCAGUGAGGUCCACGGCAAGCCAUGGAGAUGCUUGAUAGAAAACGGCACCUGGCUGGGUGUGGUGACUCAUGCCUAUAAUUCCAGCACUUUGAAAGGCUGAGGCAGGUGGAUCACCUGAGGUCAGGAGUUCAAGACCAACCUGGCCGACAUGGUGAAACCCGUCUCUACUUAAAAAAAAAAAAAAAAAAAUUAGCCGGGCCAUGGUGGCUGGCACCUGUAAUCCCAGCUACUCAGGAGGCUGAGGCAGGAAAGUUGCUUGAACACAGGAGGUGGAGGUUGCAGUGAGCCAUGAUCAUGCCAUUGCGCUCCAGCCUUGACAACAAGAGUAAAACUCUGAAAAAAAAGAAAGAAGAAAGACAGAAAGAAAGGAAGGAAGGAAGGAAGGAAGGAAGGGAGAUGGAAGGAGGGAAGGAGAAGGAAGGAAGGAAGGAGAGAGAGAGAGGAAGGAAGGAAGGAGAAAGAAGAAAGAAAGAAAGAAAGAAAGAAAGAAAGAAAGAAAGAAAGAAAGAAAGAGAAAGGAAGAAAAAGAAAGAAAGAAAGAAAGAAAGAAAGAAAGAGAAAGAAAGAAAGGAGAUGGAAGGAAGGAAGGAAGGAAAGAGAGGAAGGACUGAAGGAGAAAGAGAAAGAAAGAAAGAAAGAAAGAAAGAAAGAAAGAAAGAAAGAAAGGAAGGAAGGAAGGAAGGAGAUGGAAGGAAGGAAGGUAGGAAAGAGAGGAAGGAAGGAAGGUAGGAAAGAGGAAGGAAGGAAGGAGAAAGAGAAAGAAAGAGAGAGAGAGAGAGAGAAAGAAAGGAAGGAAGGAAGGAAGGAAGGAAGGAAGAAAGAAAGAAAGAAAGAAAGAAAGAAAGAAAGAAAGAAAGAAAGAAAGAAAGAAAGAAAGAAAAGAAAGAAAGAAAGAAAAGAAGGAAGAAAGAAAGCGGCACCCUAGGGGCAAAAUAGAUGGAUGACUGACACAGGUGAGACUUGGCCCAUCCUCUCUGGACAAAUCAAGGCAGACGGGGUUAGGAGAUUGAGGGUAGCCACCCAAAGAGAAAUUCUGAUCCCUUCCCCAGUGUCCAGACCUGAGCCAGUUUUCAAGUCCAAAUCCCAUCUACUGAAGGGAAAAGCGUGUUCCCAGGAAGAAAGACUCUGCAACAUCGUGUCAAAGGCCUAUGGGAAUCCCCUACUCCUUCCCCAACAGGACUGAUGCUCAUUGACUCAGGUAACCAGACACUAGGGAAAAAUACCCCAAUAUUUCAAGAAAUGUGGCUGAAAGCAGCAAUAGACGUUUAUGAUCAUCCUGGUGUCUGCAGGUGAAGAAUCCAGGGUGGCUUCGCUGUGUGUUGCGCCUCGUGGGCCUCCCUGAGGUUGCAGUCAGGAUGUCCUCUGGAAUGGCUGGGCCUGGGCUGGAGGGCCUGCUUCCAAGGCACUCACGCCCGGGCUGGCAAGACAGUGCCGGCUGUUGGUGGGAGGCCUCCGUUCCUCCCUAGGUGGGCCUCUCCACAGAUGGCUCGAGAGUCCUCAUGACAUGGUGGCCGGCUUGCUCCAGUAUUAGGGCCCCACACGAGGGUGUAACAUCGCAUCAGGCCAAGGGCUCCACUUCACAGCAAAAGAGGUGCAACCGCAGGCACACUCAUGGUGUCUAGUGGUCCUAUUACGUGCUGUACCACCCAGAGGCUGCUGGCUGAUGGGGGAAUGGAGUGGCCAGUUGAAGGCUUAGCCACAGAACCAGCUUGGAGGUGCCACCUGUGAAGCAAGGGCACCAUCCUCCAGGGUGUAUGUACACCCCAAGUCAAUGACCAGUACACAGUGUCCCCAGUGGGUAAAAUACCUGGGCCUAAGAACCAAAGAAUGGAAGCAGGAAUCGCCUAAUUUAGCAUCACUCUCAGUGACCUACUUGGAGAAUUUGUGCUUCCUGUCCACACAACUGCGGAGUCUGCAGGUUCAGAGGUUCUGGUUUCCAAAGGGGAAUGCUUCCACCAAGCAACACCAGUCAUGCCAGGCUACUCAUGUCAAGACACCAGUAGGCAGGGGAAGAGUCACCCAUCGAGCAGGGGCAGUUGACCUGAACCGUCAGAGGAGGUAGGGUUGCUGUCACGCAAUGGAAGCAGAGAAGACUGUGUGCCACCCACAUGGGUGUCCCUCAGGACUCUUUCACCUGAUGUAGUCAGCAAAUAGGCAAGUAAGCAGCUAUGGCUCAAGAAGGGAAUGGUCACCAGGGGCUCAGCCUCGUUGGUGAGGAUCUGGGGCAACCCACCAGGUAAGCUAUCUAGUCCAGCAUGGGUCUAGUUGAGGGUGAAAAGGAUCUGAAUGAAUAAUCCAGGAGGGGGUUGUGAGUAUCAGCUUCAAGCCUGAGACUAGCUGCAGCAAGAGCUCAUGCAAGAGCCUUGAGGAAAGUACAAAUGAAACCCUACACAGCUGUGAUACAGUGGGCGGGAGAGAAAAUGACAUGAGGUCUCACAUGUGGAUGUAGUCAGAUGGGGGGCUGCACCUGAAACAGCAUGGUGAUCUUGAGCUGCUCCGUGUGGUCUGCCCCAUGUGGGCUGGUUGGGCUUCCUCACAGCAUGGUGGCCUCAGGGUAGUUGGACUGCUGACAGGGCAACUCAGGCCUCCAUGCAUGAGUGCUCCAGUGAACAUGGAUGUCAUGGAAGUCACACAGUACCACUUUCAUUACAUUCUGUUUGUAACAAGUGUGUCACAAGCCCACCCAUGGGCCAGGCACAGUGGCUCAUGCAUGUAAUCCCAACACUUUGGGAGGAUCCCUUGAGGCUAGGAGUUUGAGACCAGCCUGGGCAACAUAGAGAGAUCUUGUCCACAAAAAAGAAAAGAAAAGUUAGUUGGGCAUGGUGGCAUGCACCUAUAAUUUCAGCACUUUGCGAGGUGGUGGUGGGAGGAUGCCUUGAGCCCAGGAGUUCAAGAUCAGCCUGGGCAACAUAACGAGAUAUUAUAUCUUAAAAAAAAAAAAAAAGUUUUCAUUAGCCAGGCAUGAUGGCACAUACCUGUGGUCUCAGCUACUCAGGAAGCUGAAACACGGGGAUCACCUGAGCCUAGGAGUUUGAGGCUGAAGUAAGUUAGGAGUCCACCACUGCACUCUGGCCUGGGCAACAGAGCAAGACUCUAUCUCUAAAAAAAACAAAAAUUAAUAAAAUAAAAAACAAUAAAUAAACAAGAUUCAAUGGAAGGAGAUAUAGACCCUAUCUCCCAAUGGGAAGAAUGUCAAGAUCAUAUUGUAAACCAAAAAUAAAAUUAUAAGCCCCAGCUGACAGAAUGGACCCCCUUUUGGCCAAGGGGACCCCAAAGAAAUCCAAAAAAUUAGUUCAGGCCAUGAUGGGAAGUGGGAGGUCACACAUGCUUCAUUAUAGCCUGCUCCCUUUAAGUUUCGGCACAGCUGACCAGCAUUAACAUUAACAUAGAGAUCCUCCUAAGACUGACAGAACACUCUUCGUAGCAAUCAGAUACCCGACUCUAACGUGACUCCGGUAUAGCAACACACGACACAGAGCAGGCCCUAAAGGAAACUAAAGUAUUUUACCCCAAAAUAAAUUUUCUUUGACAUAUUUUGAAAUGGCCUUGCAAAGUCAUCUCUUGUGGGGGAAACUUGCAUUCUCUAGAGAAUCUCCUUCCUUACUAGCUCUUUUCCAGAGAGUCUGAUCCCUUUUAAGGUCCCCAGAGACAUGCACAUCUAUUCUUUCUAAAGCCUGCUAACUGGAGGCUUCAUCUAGGUAACAAGAACCUUAGCUUCCACAUCCCCAUUGUCUUAACUCAAGCAUUUCUUUCUGCGGACUCUGACUCUUCAGGUAAAGCUUAACUCUUUUAACCGAUUGCCAAUCAGGAAAUCUUUGAAUCCUCCUCUGACCUGGAAGCACCAACCACCCACUUCAAGGUGUCCCACCUUUCUGGGCCAAACCAAUGUAUACUUUACAUAUACUGAUUCAUGUAUUUGCCUGUAACUUCUGUCCCCAUAAAAUGUAUAAAGCUAUGGCCCAACCACCUUGGGCACCUGUUCUCAGGACCUCCUGAGGCUGUGUCACAGGCCAUGGCCACUCAUAUUUGGCUUAGAAUAAACCUUUUGAGAUAUUUUACAA